UGCAGUCGAGCGAACGAUGAAAAUUGUGCUUGUCUGAUGUUACGGCGGACGGGUGAUGACCACGUGUCUGACCGACCUAUAAGACUGGCAUAACUCCGGGAAACCGGGGAUAAUACCGGAUAAUAUUUUGAACCGGAUGGUUCUAUAGUGAAAGACGUAUUCGAUUGUCCCUUAUAGAUGGACCCACGCCGUAUUAUCUAGGUGUAACGGUAACGGCUUACCAAGGUGACCAUACAGAACCAACCUGAGAGGGUGAUCGGACACACUGGAACUACUCCUCGGGCCAGACUCCUAGGGGAGGAUUGAACAAGGAAUCUUCCGCAGUGCCCGACAUGCUGACGGAGCAACGACGGGUGAGUGAUGAAGGUCUUCGGAUCGUAAAAAUCUGUUGUUAGGGAAGAACACCUUUGUGAUUAGCUGAACCCGUCUUGACGGUACCUAACCAAAAACCCGCCGCUAACUACGUGCCAACAACCGCGGUAAUACUUAAGUGGAAUUACUGAUCCGAAAUUAUUGGGAGUAGAGCGCGCGUAGGCGAUGUCUUAUCUCUGAUGUGAAACUCCACGGUUCAUCCGUGACUACUGAUUGAAAACUGGGAAAAUUGAGUGGAAAUUACGAGAGUGGAAUUCAAUGUGUAACAUAGAAAUGCGCACAGAUAUGGAGGAACACCCCUGCUGAACGGGAUCUCUCUGCUCUGUAGCUGA
Molecule: ribosomal RNA, 704 nt
Filed under: Mammaliicoccus sciuri
Lineage: Bacteria; Bacillati; Bacillota; Bacilli; Caryophanales; Staphylococcaceae
Description: bacterial SSU rRNA
Rfam family: Bacterial small subunit ribosomal RNA
Source: RNAcentral